AGUGAACGCUGGCGGUAGGCCUAACACAUGCAAGUCGAACGGCAGCACAGUAAGAGCUUGCUCUUACGGGUGGCGAGUGGCGGACGGGUAAGGAAUACAUCGGAAUCUACUUUUUCGUGGGGGGUAACGUAGGGAAACUUACGCUAAUACCGCAUACGACCUACGGGUGAAAGCAGGGGAUCUUCGGACCUUGCGCGAUUGAAUGAGCCGAUGUCGGAUUAGCUAGUUGGCGGGGUAAAGGCCCACCAAGGCGACGAUCCGUAGCUGGUCUGAGAGGAUGAUCAGCCACACUGGAACUGAGACACGGUCCAGACUCCUACGGGAGGCAGCAGUGGGGAAUAUUGGACAAUGGGCGCAAGCCUGAUCCAGCCAUACCGCGUGGGUGAAGAAGGCCUUCGGGUUGUAAAGCCCUUUUGUUGGGAAAGAAAAGCAGCAGGUUAAUACCCCGCUGUUCUGACGGUACCCAAAGAAUAAGCACCGGCUAACUUCGU
This 491-nucleotide ribosomal RNA is filed under the name uncultured bacterium. RNAcentral's name for it is "partial 16S ribosomal RNA". It matches the Rfam family "Bacterial small subunit ribosomal RNA", at positions 29 to 506 of the family's 1533-position model. The record is from RNAcentral.